GGGGGUAGAUGAGUCCUGGUGGGCUCCCUGGACUUCAAAUCCUGUGACGGGCAGCGGUCCUGUCCGUGGUGGGUUCGAUUCCCACAUACUCCCGCCA
Molecule: transfer RNA, 97 nt
Filed under: Bacillota bacterium
Lineage: Bacteria; Bacillati; Bacillota
Description: Firmicutes bacterium (anaerobic digester metagenome) tRNA-Sec
Rfam family: Selenocysteine transfer RNA
Source: RNAcentral